This 425-nucleotide ribosomal RNA is filed under the name uncultured bacterium. Its description in RNAcentral is "partial 16S ribosomal RNA". It matches the Rfam family "Bacterial small subunit ribosomal RNA", at positions 354 to 796 of the family's 1533-position model. The record is from RNAcentral.
GUGGGGAAUAUUGGACAAUGGGCGAAAGCCUGAUCCAGCCAUGCCGCGUGAGUGAUGAAGGCCUUAGGGUUGUAAAGCUCUUUCAGUAGGGAAGAUAAUGACGGUACCUACAGAAGAAGCCCCGGCUAACUUCGUGCCAGCAGCCGCGGUAAUACGAAGGGGGCUAGCGUUGUUCGGAUUUACUGGGCGUAAAGCGCACGUAGGCGGAUUGGUCAGUUAGAGGUGAAAUCCUGGAGCUCAACUCCAGAACUGCCUUUAAUACUGCCAGUCUAGAGUCCAGAAGAAGUGAGUGGAACUCCUAGUGUAGAGGUGGAAUUCGUAGAUAUUAGGAAGAACACCAGUGGCGAAGGCGGCUCACUGGUCUGGUACUGACGCUGAGGUGCGAAAGCGUGGGGAGCAAACAGGAUUAGAAACCCGGGUAGUCC